AGGACGAACGCUGGCGGCGUGCUUAACACAUGCAAGUCGAGCGGAAAGGCCCUUCGGGGUACUCGAGCGGCGAACGGGUGAGUAACACGUGAGCAGCCUGCCCUCAGCUCUGGGAUAGCUCCCGGAAACGGGAAUUAAUACCGGAUACGACCCCAACUGACAUCGGUCAGGGUGGAAAGGAUUCCGGCUGAGGAUGGACUCGCGGCCUAUCAGCUAGUUGGUGGAGUAACGGCCCACCAAGGCGACG
RNAcentral lists this ribosomal RNA (247 nucleotides) under uncultured bacterium. Its description in RNAcentral is "partial small subunit ribosomal RNA". It matches the Rfam family "Bacterial small subunit ribosomal RNA", at positions 26 to 278 of the family's 1533-position model. The record is from RNAcentral.